This 253-nucleotide ribosomal RNA is filed under the name uncultured bacterium. RNAcentral describes it as "partial 16S ribosomal RNA". It matches the Rfam family "Bacterial small subunit ribosomal RNA", at positions 524 to 776 of the family's 1533-position model. The record is from RNAcentral.
UACGAAGGGGGCUAGCGUUGCUCGGAAUCACUGGGCGUAAAGGGUGCGUAGGCGGGUCUUUAAGUCAGGGGUGAAAUCCUGGAGCUCAACUCCAGAACCGCCUUUGAUACUGAGGAUCUUGAGUUCGGGAGAGGUGAGUGGAACUGCGAGUGUAGAGGUGAAAUUCGUAGAUAUUCGCAAGAACACCAGUGGCGAAGGCGGCUCACUGGACCACAACUGACGCUGAGGUGCGAAAGCGUGGGGAGCGAACAGG